CCUACGUGAGGCUGCAGUCGAGAAUCAUUCACAAUGGGGGAAACCCUGAUGGUGCGACGCCGCGUGGGGGAAUGAAGGUCUUCGGAUUGUAAACCCCUGUCAUGUGGGAGCAAAUUCAAAAGAUAGUACCACAAGAGGAAGAGACGGCUAACUCUGUGCCAGCAGCCGCGGUAAUACAGAGGUCUCAAGCGUUGUUCGGAAUCACUGGGCGUAAAGCGUGCGUAGGCUGUUCGUAAGUCGUGUGUGAAAGGCGCGGGCUCAACCCGCGGACGGCACAUGAUACUGGGAGACUAGAGUAAUGGAGGGGGAAGCGGAAGUCGCGGUGUAGCAGUGAAAUGCGUAGAUGUCGAGAGGAACACGCGUGGCGAAGGCGGGGUCCUGGACAUUAACUGACGCUGAGGCACGAAGGCCAGGGGAGCGAAAGGGAUUAGAUACCCCAGUAGUC
This 445-nucleotide ribosomal RNA is filed under the name uncultured bacterium. Its description in RNAcentral is "partial 16S ribosomal RNA". It matches the Rfam family "Bacterial small subunit ribosomal RNA", at positions 338 to 795 of the family's 1533-position model. The record is from RNAcentral.